Long non-coding RNA from Dreissena polymorpha, 1402 nucleotides. RefSeq lists it as uncharacterized. The transcript is spliced from 3 exons. The record is from RefSeq and is a predicted model, not a curated record. NCBI's taxonomy places the organism in Eukaryota, Metazoa, Mollusca, Bivalvia, Myida, Dreissenidae.
UUGAUGCUGUAGUAAUUAAAGUAGUAGUUCUGCAGAAGUAGGAGUAGUUGUUACUUUCAAAGCAAUUUCUACAAGUUUAAAUUCCUUAACCCUGUCCAAGUGGUAUACACACUGUUUUUUCUCAAUAUCAAACUCAGCCAGUCCAGGUUGUCAAAUAACAAUCUAUCUGAUAAGCCAAGCAUGUGUUGUACAUCAGAUGUUGGGUAUGUUUGCUGCAAAUCUAUUGGUUAUAAGAUAUAACAGCCUUUUCUAAUUGGCUGAAUUCAAAUACAGAAAGUUUACCUGUUGGAUUGAAACAUGAAACAUGGUGGACAAUGUACUGGUUUAACUUGUUAAAAUAAAGUUAAAGACAUUUAACAAACAGAAGAGUCAUUAGUUUUUCCAUUAAAAACACUUUCUUAAAAUACUUAUGUAUUUAUAUCAUUUGGAAAGUGACAUGAAAUAUUGCUAAAGAGUGAUGCAUACAGUGUUUGAGCAGUCUGUCUAGGAAUAGAACAACAACUGAAGUUGAUGGAAGAUACUGCAGAGUUUGGCAGGGAAAUAAUCCAACAGCAAAGCGGCUCUUUAAGCCCAUUUACCUAGAGGACUUACAGGGCCACAAAUUCAUGAGCACAUGUGAGCAGUAUACAAUGUACCUCAUACCAAAAAGGACCCGGAGGCAGUGACUGGUGUUCAAUAUUCUCAGAAGAAAAGGAAAAUGGCAGUGGAAGACUUGGACAAACAUUUUUAGCCUCUGUGUUAAGCCUGGCAGUCUGUGGCUGGUGACAUGUUUUAUUUUGGUUACUUCUUGUAUAAAAAAGACCAGUUAUUUAUUUUGUGAAUUGUAUUUUGUGUUUGUUUUUUGUCUUAAUUUAUUUGUUGUUUUUUUAAUUUAGGAAUUUGAAACUUGGAUAAUUGAAUUAAGUCCGUGUUCAACAGUACUGAGCAUAGUAUAAUAAAUAACAAAUUUACAACAGUUGUUAAUUUGUUAUGUAUUAUUAUUAACUAUGCUCAGUACUUGAAUACUGGCUGUCUGCAUGGGAAUUUGUUUUCUAGAAAGUUGGUUUCAGACUUAAAUAUUUGAAGUUAACCUUCGGAACUUUUCUAGAAUUGUACUGGAACACAUCAACUAGAACUGAACUUCUGUAAUCGUACUGAAAGUGUUCUAGAAUUAAUAAGGAACAAUUGUUGAACGUUAAAAUUUAUGAGAAAAAACUCUAGAACAAUUGUGCGUGAUGUGUGUGUGCAUGUAAUUGUGUGUGUUUAUGAACAUAUGUGAGAAAGGAAGUAUACUUGUCAUAAGAGAAAUGUAAAAUUCUACUUCUAUGUUUUAUAUUGUGCCUUUUAUAAGUUUUUCUGUUCUCACCUGUAUAUGCGUGCAUGUUUAUGGAUGUGUUUUUGAAUGUGUGCAUGCAUGCCUGUG